RNAcentral lists this ribosomal RNA (196 nucleotides) under uncultured bacterium. Its description in RNAcentral is "partial 16S ribosomal RNA". It matches the Rfam family "Bacterial small subunit ribosomal RNA", at positions 1299 to 1500 of the family's 1533-position model. The record is from RNAcentral.
CGGAGUCUGCAACCCGACUCCGUGAAGCUGGAUUCGCUAGUAAUCGCGCAUCAGCCAUGGCGCGGUGAAUACGUUCCCGGGCCUUGUACACACCGCCCGUCAAGCCAUGGGAGCCGGGAGUGCCUGAAGUGCGUGACCGUAAAAGGAGCGCCCUAGGGCAAGACCGGUGACUGGGGUUAAGUCGUAACAAGGUAAC